This 501-nucleotide ribosomal RNA is filed under the name uncultured bacterium. Its description in RNAcentral is "partial 16S ribosomal RNA". It matches the Rfam family "Bacterial small subunit ribosomal RNA", at positions 30 to 523 of the family's 1533-position model. The record is from RNAcentral.
AUUGAACGCUGGCGGCAGGCUUAACACAUGCAAGUCGAGCGGGGGAAGGUAGCUUGCUACCGGACCUAGCGGCGGACGGGUGAGUAAUGCUUAGGAAUCUGCCUAUUAGUGGGGGACAACAUCUCGAAAGGGAUGCUAAUACCGCAUACGUCCUACGGCAGAAAGCAGGGGAUCUUCGGAACUUGCGCUAAUAGAUGAGCCUAAGUCGGAUUAGCUAGUUGGUGGGGUAAAGGCCUACCAAGGCGACGAUCUGUAGCGGGUCUGAGAGGAUGAUCCGCCACACUGGGACUGAGACACGGCCCAGACUCCUACGGGAGGCAGCAGUGGGGAAUAUUGGGCAAUGGGGGGAACCCUGAUCCAGCCAUGCCGCGUGUGUGAAGAAGGCCUUAUGGUUGUAAAGCACUUUAAGCGAGGAGGAGGCUACUUUAGUUAAUACCUAGAGAUAGUGGACGUUACUCGCAGAAUAAGCACCGGCUAACUCUGUGCCAGCCGCCGCAGUAA